This 250-nucleotide ribosomal RNA is filed under the name uncultured bacterium. RNAcentral's name for it is "partial 16S ribosomal RNA". It matches the Rfam family "Bacterial small subunit ribosomal RNA", at positions 524 to 773 of the family's 1533-position model. The record is from RNAcentral.
UACGUAGGGCGCAAGCGUUGUCCGGAAUUAUUGGGCGUAAAGAGCUCGUAGGCGGCUUGUCACGUCGGGUGUGAAAGCUCGGGGCUUAACCCCGGGUCUGCAUUCGAUACGGGCUGGCUGGAGUGUGGUAGGGGAGAUCGGAAUUCCUGGUGUAGCGGUGAAAUGCGCAGAUAUCAGGAGGAACACCGGUGGCGAAGGCGGAUCUCUGGGCCAUUACUGACGCUGAGGAGCGAAAGCGUGGGGAGCGAAC